Molecule: ribosomal RNA, 601 nt
Filed under: Bacillus sp. ST12.14/241
Lineage: Bacteria; Bacillati; Bacillota; Bacilli; Caryophanales; Bacillaceae
Description: bacterial SSU rRNA
Rfam family: Bacterial small subunit ribosomal RNA
Source: RNAcentral
ACUGGGAAACUUGAGUGCAGAAGAGGAGAGUGGAAUUCCACGUGUAGCGGUGAAAUGCGUAGAGAUGUGGAGGAACACCAGUGGCGAAGGCGACUCUCUGGUCUGUAACUGACGCUGAGGAGCGAAAGCGUGGGGAGCGAACAGGAUUAGAUACCCUGGUAGUCCACGCCGUAAACGAUGAGUGCUAAGUGUUAGGGGGUUUCCGCCCCUUAGUGCUGCAGCUAACGCAUUAAGCACUCCGCCUGGGGAGUACGGUCGCAAGACUGAAACUCAAAGGAAUUGACGGGGGCCCGCACAAGCGGUGGAGCAUGUGGUUUAAUUCGAAGCAACGCGAAGAACCUUACCAGGUCUUGACAUCCUCUGACAACCCUAGAGAUAGGGCUUUCCCUUCGGGGACAGAGUGACAGGUGGUGCAUGGUUGUCGUCAGCUCGUGUCGUGAGAUGUUGGGUUAAGUCCCGCAACGAGCGCAACCCUUGAUCUUAGUUGCCAGCAUUCAGUUGGGCACUCUAAGGUGACUGCCGGUGACAAACCGGAGGAAGGUGGGGAUGACGUCAAAUCAUCAUGCCCCUUAUGACCUGGGCUACACACGUGCUACAAUGG